GCUAGGCUGACAUAAUACUUAUUAGUUGUUCUGCCUACAUAAAACCUUUCUUUAUUCUCCCUCCUUUUUUUUUUUUGUAAAAAUUUCUUUGGAUGAAAAUAAUGUUCAAAGAAUUGAGUUUUUGGUUAAGCUGUUGGGCCACAGAGAGAAAUGGCUUAUCUGAAAACUUAUCUAGGAAAAAACAAGGGCUUUUUUUUGGCAUUUAAAACAUAAUUUUCAAAAUAUAUAGGCUGCUCUGUAGAUAUGUGUAAUUUAUGCUUUCAAAAUUCAUAGUAGUGCCUGUAUCUUAUGAAAGUUCAUCUGCUUCAGUCAUAUCAAACAUGCAGUUGAAAGACAGCUGCUGUGAAAAUGACAUGAGUUCGCUUUAAGGGUGUAUCGAUAGCAGUUAAGUGUAGCAGUUAUUUGAGGGCACCACCUAAGAUGACUGCUGCUAAGCAUAAGAUUAAGACAGGAGGGCAGGUCGGAGUCUAGUACACUUUAUUCUUCUGCUAGAAAUGAGCUCCGUAGGUGUUUACGUUAAGUCCUAAACUAUUUAAGAGUACUAAAGAAAUUUUCAAUGAAGCCUCUUGGACAAGGAGGCCCGAGGAAAUUGUUCU
This 596-nucleotide long non-coding RNA is filed under the name Bos taurus (domestic cattle). Its description in RNAcentral is "long non-coding RNA NONBTAT017386". The record is from RNAcentral. Lineage: Eukaryota; Metazoa; Chordata; Mammalia; Artiodactyla; Bovidae.